This 631-nucleotide ribosomal RNA is filed under the name uncultured bacterium. RNAcentral's name for it is "bacterial SSU rRNA". It matches the Rfam family "Bacterial small subunit ribosomal RNA", at positions 28 to 653 of the family's 1533-position model. The record is from RNAcentral.
GAUGAACGCUGGCGGCAGGCUUAAUACAUGCAAGUCGAACGGUAACAGUACUAGCAAUAGUAGCUGACGAGUGGCGGAUGGGUGCGUAACGCGUAUGCAACCUACCCUUAACAGGAACAUAACGUUGAGAAAUCGGCGCUAAUAUUCCAUGUGUUUAUGAGAAGGCAUCUUAUUAUAAAUAAAGAUUUAUCGGUUAAGGAUGGGCAUGCGUAUCAUUAGUUAGUUGGUAGGGUAACGGCUUACCAAGACUACGAUGAUUAGGGGUUCUGAGAGGAUAUCCCCCCACACUGGAACUGAGAGACGGUCCAGACUCCUACGGGAGGCAGCAGUAGGGAAUAUUGGGCAAUGGAGGCAACUCUGACCCAGCCAUGCCGCGUGAAGGAAGACAGUCUUAUGGAUUGUAAACUUCUUUUAUCAUAGAGUAACCACCGGGACGUGCUCCCGGUCUGCAAGUAUAUGAUGAAUAAGCAUCGGCUAACUCCGUGCCAGCAGCCGCGGUAAUACGGAGGAUGCAAGCGUUAUCCGGAUUUAUUGGGUUUAAAGGGUGCACAGGCGGUCUGGUAAGUCAUGGGUGAAAUUUUACAGCUUAACUGUAAGCGUGCCUAUGAUACUGUCGGACUAGAGUUUAAGA